CUUGCUAAUUGGUUGAACGCGGCACGAAUGGCGAAGGAACGAGCACCCCCCUUCGUUAAGCGGAAACAGGUUCAAAGAAGUCAUGAACCCAUCAUUUUGUAGAAUAGCAGUUUCAAAAACACUGGUUAUGGUAGCUUACAUUUGAAGGGUACAAUCAGGGCUGCAUUGUGGUCUGUAGUGUCCAAUCACCGAGUAGAUAAAAGAACUGGAAGUUAUUUAGGAAAAUUGCUUCUAGGCUAGUGAAGUGUUUCGUUUUCAAUUUAUGUUAGUCAGUAACGGGUUGGUGUUUACCAUCUUUGAGUUAGCUAUAAUGGUAACUGUACACCAUAGACAUAAUAAAGAGUAGACGCCGCAUUGGCUGCUGGGGCGCGAGAAAUACGGCCGCCAUGUUUGACCGGUCAUACUCCUAUUUGCGUAGCAGCAGAAGCAACGAUACCAGAGCACUAUGGAGCAUACUCCUGCUCAUAUCGGCGGACCAUCGAAAGCAGGGCUCGGGGGAUUACUUUUCACAAGUGCUGAGUGCUGCAGAGAGGGUGAUCCGCCAAGCUUCACCAAUGCCAGCUCCUAAGGUGUCGACAGUCACAGACAUCGUCCGGGAGCAGAUUGGAACGGAGGAUGUUUUUCUGCUUGGGGAACACAUUGAGGAGACUCAGUUUGGCAUCGACAACCAUCAUUCUGACUUGUUGUCAUUGGUUGUGUCUGUGUUUCUCAAAAUAAGGCUGCACCACAUUACCAAACUCACCUCUCUUGAACUGCAGAAAGGGAGCACGAGGAAGAACUGUCCUCUUUCAG
Molecule: long non-coding RNA, 792 nt
Organism: Esox lucius (northern pike)
Lineage: Eukaryota; Metazoa; Chordata; Actinopteri; Esociformes; Esocidae
Source: Ensembl